This 73-nucleotide transfer RNA is filed under the name Pristionchus pacificus. It matches the Rfam family "tRNA". From Rfam's summary of the family: Transfer RNA (tRNA) molecules are approximately 80 nucleotides in length. Lineage: Eukaryota; Metazoa; Nematoda; Chromadorea; Rhabditida; Neodiplogasteridae. The record is from Rfam by way of RNAcentral.
GGGGGUAUAGCUCAGUGGUAGAGCACCCGCAUACGUAUCGGAAAGGUCGGGGGUUCGACUCCCUCUGCCUCCA